UGAAGAUAAGCCACGACCACAUAGCCUGUU
This 30-nucleotide non-coding RNA is filed under the name Mus musculus (house mouse). Lineage: Eukaryota; Metazoa; Chordata; Mammalia; Rodentia; Muridae. The record is from RNAcentral.